Molecule: ribosomal RNA, 627 nt
Filed under: uncultured bacterium
Lineage: Bacteria
Description: bacterial SSU rRNA
Rfam family: Bacterial small subunit ribosomal RNA (bases 1-523)
Source: RNAcentral
CCUACGGGAGGCAGCAGUGGGGAAUAUUGCACAAUGGGCGAAAGCCUGAUGCAGCGACGCCGCGUGAGGGAUGACGGCCUUCGGGUUGUAAACCUCUUUCAGCAGGGAAGAAGCGAAAGUGACGGUACCUGCAGAAGAAGCGCCGGCUAACUACGUGCCAGCAGCCGCGGUAAUACGUAGGGCGCAAGCGUUGUCCGGAAUUAUUGGGCGUAAAGAGUUCGUAGGCGGCUUGUCACGUCGGAUGUGAAAGCCCGGGGCUUAACCCCGGGUCUGCAUUCGAUACGGGCUAGCUAGAGUGUGGUAGGGGAGAUCGGAAUUCCUGGUGUAGCGGUGAAAUGCGCAGAUAUCAGGAGGAACACCGGUGGCGAAGGCGGAUCUCUGGGCCAUUACUGACGCUGAGGAGCGAAAGCGUGGGGAGCGAACAGGAUUAGAUACCCUGGUAGUCCACGCCGUAAACGUUGGGAACUAGGUGUUGGCGACAUCCACGUCGUCGGUGCCGCNGCUACGCAUAACGUUACCCGUCCCGUCGGGUAGGUACGGCCGGCCGACGGACGUAAACCGUACGAAACGGAAAGUUAAGGUACGGUCGUUGAGUACGUUGCCGAACGGCGACGACGAGGGAGGAGG